This 72-nucleotide transfer RNA is filed under the name Caligus rogercresseyi. Its description in RNAcentral is "tRNA-Cys". The record is from RNAcentral. Lineage: Eukaryota; Metazoa; Arthropoda; Copepoda; Siphonostomatoida; Caligidae.
AGGGGGCACACGGAGUUGAACCAUGGACCUAUCGAUCUGCAGUCGAUUGCUCUACCACUGAGCUAUACCCCC